AAUAUUGCGCAAUGGGGGAAACCCUGACGCAGCGACGCCGCGUGAGCGAAGAAGGCCUUCGGGUCGUAAAGCACUGUCCUAAGGGAAGAAACGGACGGUACCUUAGGGGAAAGCCCCGGCUAACUACGUGCCAUCAGCUGCGGUAAUACGUAGGGGGCAAGCGUUGUCCGGAAUUAUUGGGCGUAAAGCGCGCGCAGGCGGUUUCUUAUGUCUGGUGUGAAAGCCCGCAGCUCAACUGCGGAGGGCCACUGGAAACUGGGAGACUUGAGUGUAGGAGAGGAGAGCGGAAUUCCACGUGCAGCGGUGAAAUGCGUAGAUAUGUGGAGGAACACCCGUGGCGAAAGCGGCUCUCUGGCCUAUAACUGACGCUGAGGCGCGAAAGCGUGGGGAGCGAAC
Molecule: ribosomal RNA, 396 nt
Filed under: uncultured bacterium
Lineage: Bacteria
Description: partial 16S ribosomal RNA
Rfam family: Bacterial small subunit ribosomal RNA
Source: RNAcentral